This 465-nucleotide ribosomal RNA is filed under the name Vreelandella stevensii. Its description in RNAcentral is "partial 16S ribosomal RNA". It matches the Rfam family "Bacterial small subunit ribosomal RNA", at positions 338 to 795 of the family's 1533-position model. The record is from RNAcentral. Lineage: Bacteria; Pseudomonadati; Pseudomonadota; Gammaproteobacteria; Oceanospirillales; Halomonadaceae.
CCUACGGGUGGCAGCAGUGGGGAAUAUUGGACAAUGGGGGGAACCCUGAUCCGGCCAUGCCGCGUGUGUGAAGAAGGCCCUCGGGUUGUAAAGCACUUUCAGUGAGGAAGAACGCCUGGUGGUUAAUACCCAUCAGGAAAGACAUCACUCACAGAAGAAGCACCGGCUAACUCCGUGCCAGCAGCCGCGGUAAUACGGAGGGUGCGAGCGUUAAUCGGAAUUACUGGGCGUAAAGCGCGCGUAGGUGGCUUGAUAAGCCGGUUGUGAAAGCCCCGGGCUCAACCUGGGAACGGCAUCCGGAACUGUCAAGCUAGAGUGCAGGAGAGGAAGGUAGAAUUCCCGGUGUAGCGGUGAAAUGCGUAGAGAUCGGGAGGAAUACCAGUGGCGAAGGCGGCCUUCUGGACUGACACUGACACUGAGGUGCGAAAGCGUGGGUAGCAAACAGGAUUAGAUACCCCAGUAGUC